GAUCAUGGUUAAAAAUUUUGGGUACGUGGGCUUCAAAUCAUCCACAUACAUAAUAGAAGAAGACAAAUUUCAUCACUUUUCCUAGAAAUUUCCAAGACCGACCGGUGCUCCUGUUACUUGCCUAUUUUCCAGAGCUUAUCUAUUACAACUCACCCAUGCAAAUCCUUUAUUACAACUCAUGAAGAGGUCUCUCAUAUUGAGAGCUUGGACUAUGAGAUCAAUGAGAAUGAUCUCUUCAAGCAUGACUGGAGAAGCAGAUCAAAAGUCCAAGUAUUGCAGUAUAUUUUCUUAAAAUGGACGCUGGCUUUCCUUGUUGGGCUUCUAACUGGCAUAAUUGCCACAUUCAUCAAUCUUGCAGUCGAGAAUAUUGCAGGGUACAAGCAUCUCUCCAUGGUUCGAUACAUAGA
Camellia sinensis is the source of this 407-nucleotide non-coding RNA. The record is from RefSeq and is a predicted model, not a curated record. Lineage: Eukaryota; Viridiplantae; Streptophyta; Magnoliopsida; Ericales; Theaceae.